This 538-nucleotide ribosomal RNA is filed under the name uncultured bacterium. RNAcentral's name for it is "bacterial SSU rRNA". It matches the Rfam family "Bacterial small subunit ribosomal RNA", at positions 777 to 1304 of the family's 1533-position model. The record is from RNAcentral.
AAUAGAUACCCGGGUAGUCCACGCCGUAAACGGUGGGCACUAGGUGUGGGCGACAUUCCACGUCGUCCGUGCCGCAGCUAACGCAUUAAGUGCCCCGCUUGGGGAGUACGGCCGCAAGGCUAAAACUCAAAGGAAUUGACGGGGGGCCCGCACAAGCGGCGGAGCAUGUGGCUUAAUUCGACGCAACGCGAAGAACCUUACCAAGGCUUGACAUACACCGGAAACGUCCAGAGAUGGGCGCCCCCUUGGUGGUCGGUGUACAGGUGGUGCAUGGCUGUCGUCAGCUCGUGUCGUGAGAUGUUGGGUUAAGUCCCGCAACGAGCGCAACCCUUGUCCCGUGUUGCCAGCAGGCCCUUGUGGUGCUUGGGGACUCACGGGAGACCGCCGGGGUCAACUCGGAGGAAGGUGGGGACGACGGUCAAGUCAUCAUGCCCCUUAUGUCUUGGGCUGCACACGUGCUACAAUGGCCGGUACAAUGAGCUGCGAUACCGCGAGGUGGAGCGAAUCUCAAAAAGCCGGUCUCAGUUCGGAUUGGGGU